This 392-nucleotide ribosomal RNA is filed under the name uncultured bacterium. RNAcentral's name for it is "partial 16S ribosomal RNA". It matches the Rfam family "Bacterial small subunit ribosomal RNA", at positions 523 to 918 of the family's 1533-position model. The record is from RNAcentral.
AUGCGGAGGAUCCGAGCGUUAUCCGGAUUUAUUGGGUUUAAAGGGUGCGCAGGCGGCCAUUUAAGUCAGCGGUUAAAUCGUGGGGCUCAACCCCAUUCUGCCGUUGAUACUGGGUGGCUUGAUUGCGGUCGAGGUUGGCGGAAUUCGUUGUGUAGCGGUGAAAUGCAUAGAUAUGACGAAGAACACCGAUUGCGUAGGCAGCUGACCAGACCGCAAAUGACGCUCAUGCACGAAAGUGCGGGGAUCGAACAGGAUUAGAUACCCUGGUAGUCCGCGCAGUAAACGAUGAAUACUUGUUUUCGGCGAUAUAAUGUCGGAGGCAAAGCGAAAGCGAUAAGUAUUCCACCUGGGGAGUACGCCGGCAACGGUGAAACUCAAAUGAAUUGACGGGG